Molecule: long non-coding RNA, 478 nt
Filed under: Gossypium raimondii (Peruvian cotton)
Lineage: Eukaryota; Viridiplantae; Streptophyta; Magnoliopsida; Malvales; Malvaceae
Description: long non-coding RNA (GRAI_LNC010213)
Source: RNAcentral
CUGAUUUAACAUCGUAGAUACACAGUAAGCAUUUGUGCAUAUAUAUAUAUAUAGUAUAUGCUUUUACCUUAAAAGGAAGCCAUGCUGAUAUUUGGAGAUCUUGAUGAAGACAAGGCCAAGCAAAGAAGAACCGACAUUAACAAAACAGGAAUCAAGAGCAAUAUCAACGGCGGUGGCGGCAAUUCCGGUAGCAACAACGGCGAAACUAAGAGCAAGGUGGUUAGCAUAAGCAUAAAAAUGAAUGAGUUAUUGCAAAAAUACCUCAACAUCAAGUUCUUUCUCGCUUAAUAAUCUGGAUUCGAGGAUAUGAUACUGUAGGAACUGGAUAAUCUAAUACUAUACUAAGACGGGAUUUUGUGAGGAUGAAAUUUCCAAGAAAAAUUUGGGAGAAGAUAAUGGAAAAUUGUAGACUUAGGUAAGAUGGAAGGGCCAAUACUUCUUUCUUUUUUCCUUUUUUUCAAGGUAGCUACCAACUUGC